AAUAGAUACCCGGUAGUCCACGCCGUAAACGAUGAGUGCUAAGUGUUAGAGGGUUUCCGCCCUUUAGUGCUGCAGCUAACGCAUUAAGCACUCCGCCUGGGGAGUACGGUCGCAAGACUGAAACUCAAAGGAAUUGACGGGGGCCCGCACAAGCGGUGGAGCAUGUGGUUUAAUUCGAAGCAACGCGAAGAACCUUACCAGGUCUUGACAUCCUCUGACAACUCUAGAGAUAGAGCGUUCCCCUUCGGGGGACAGAGUGACAGGUGGUGCAUGGUUGUCGUCAGCUCGUGUCGUGAGAUGUUGGGCUAAGUCCCGCAACGAGCGCAACCCUUGAUCUUAGUUGCCAGCAUUCAGUUGGGCACUCUAAGGUGACUGCCGGUGACAAACCGGAGGAAGGUGGGGAUGACGUCAAAUCAUCAUGCCCCUUAUGACCUGGGCUACACACGUGCUACAAUGGAUGGUACAAAGGGCUGCAAGACCGCGAGGUCAAGCCAAUCCCAUAAAACCAUUCUCAGUUCGGAUUGU
RNAcentral lists this ribosomal RNA (525 nucleotides) under uncultured bacterium. Its description in RNAcentral is "bacterial SSU rRNA". It matches the Rfam family "Bacterial small subunit ribosomal RNA", at positions 777 to 1301 of the family's 1533-position model. The record is from RNAcentral.